This 74-nucleotide transfer RNA is filed under the name Candidatus Omnitrophota bacterium. RNAcentral's name for it is "tRNA-Ala". It matches the Rfam family "tRNA". From Rfam's summary of the family: Transfer RNA (tRNA) molecules are approximately 80 nucleotides in length. Their secondary structure includes four short double-helical elements and three loops (D, anti-codon, and T loops). The record is from RNAcentral. Lineage: Bacteria; Pseudomonadati; Candidatus Omnitrophota.
GGGGCUGUAGUGAAGAGGGAUCACGGCACAAUGGCAUUGUGCAGUCACGAGUUCGAUUCUCGUCAGCUCCACCA